GUGGGGAAUAUUGGACAAUGGGCGCAAGCCUGAUCCAGCCAUGCCGCGUGAGUGGUGAAGGCCCUAGGGUUGUAAAGCUCUUUCAGUGGGGACGAUAAUGACGGUACCCACAGAAGAAGCCCCGGCUAACUUCGUGCCAGCAGCCGCGGUAAUACGAAGGGGGCUAGCGUUGUUCGGAUUUACUGGGCGUAAAGCGCACGUAGGCGGAUCGUUAAGUCGAGGGUGAAAUCCUGGAGCUCAACUCCAGAACUGCCUUCGAUACUGGCGAUCUUGAGUCCGGAAGAGGUGAGUGGAACUCCUAGUGUAGAGGUGGAAUUCGUAGAUAUUAGGAAGAACACCAGUGGCGAAGGCGGCUCACUGGUCCGGUACUGACGCUGAGGUGCGAAAGCGUGGGGAGCAAACAGGAUUAGAAACCCCGGUAGUCC
RNAcentral lists this ribosomal RNA (425 nucleotides) under uncultured bacterium. RNAcentral describes it as "bacterial SSU rRNA". It matches the Rfam family "Bacterial small subunit ribosomal RNA", at positions 354 to 796 of the family's 1533-position model. The record is from RNAcentral.